AGAGUUUGAUCCUGGCUCAGGACAAACGCUAGCGGUGUGCCUUAGGCAUGCAAGUCGAACGAUCGAUGCUUUGCAUCGGGAAGCACGAAAACCUAAACAAAUUCAAAAUUUUCAAUACAAAUGUUUUAAACAAAAUAUUUAGGAUUUGGAAUUUUAUUAUUUGGUAUUGUUUUGGAUUUAGAGUUUUGGAUUUCGGAUUUCCGCUGCAGAGCAGCGAUUAGUGGCAGACGGCUGAGUAACACGUGGGAACGUACUUUUUAGAGGAGAAUAGCCCAUUGAAAGAUGGGGUAAUUCUGCAUAGUCCCUUCGGGGUAAAGGAUGUAACUAUCCGCUAAGAAAGCGGCCUGCGGCCUAUCAGCUUGUUGGUAAGGUAAUGGCUUACCAAGGCAAAGACGGGUAGGGGAUGUGAGAGCAUAAUCCCCCAGAAUGGGACUUAGAUACGGCCCAUACACCUACGGGUGGCAGCAACCGGGAAUCUUGCGCAAUGGGCGAAAGCCUGACGCAGCGACACCGCGUGGAGGAUGAAGGCCUUCGGGUUGUAAACUUCUCGUUUUUGGUCCAUUGGACCAUUAAGCAAAAAGCACCGGCUAACUACGUGCCAGCAGCUGCGGUAAGACGUAGGGUGCCAGCGUUGUCCGAAUUUAUUGGGCGUAAAGAGUUUGUAGGUGGAUGAAUAGGUUGUUGGUUAAAGUCUUUGGCUUAACUAAAGAAAAGCCGACAAUACCAUUUAUCUAGUUCUCGAUAGGGGGUGCUGGAACUUACUGAGUAGGGGUGAAAUCCGUUGAUACAGUAAGGAACACCAAUAGCGAAGGCGGGCACCUGGAUCGAUGAAGACACUGAGAAACGAAAGCUAGGGGAGCAAAUCGGAUUAGAGACCCGAGUAGUCCUAGCCCUAAAUGUUGUUCGUUACCUUUUUGUUCAAUUCUUUUUGAAAAAGACUGUUUUUAAUAAUGCUUUUUUAGAAAGAAUUGAAUAAGGGGGGCAGCUAACGCGUUAAACGAACCGCCUGGGGAGUAUGAUCGCAAGGUUGAAACUCAAAGGAAUUGGCGGGGAGGCGCACAACCAGUGGAGCAUGUGGUUUAAUUCGACACAAAGCGAAGAACCUUACCUGGGUUUGACAUGCUAUUGACAACUCUAGAAAUAGAGCCUUCCUUCGGGACAAUAGCACAGCUACUGCAUGGUUGUCGUCAGCUCGUGCCGUGAGGUGUUCCCUUAAGUGGGGCAACGAGCGCAACCCCUAUUCUGUGUUGGAUUUUCACAGAAGACUGCCCUCCGAAUCGGAGGGAGGAAGGUGGGGAUGACGUCAAAUCAGCAUGGUGCUUAUAUCCAGGGCGACACACAUCCUACAAUGAGAAGCUACAAAGGGUUGCUAAAUCGCGAGAUGGAGCUAAUCCCAUCAAAUCUUCUCUCAGUGGGGAUUGCAGGCUGAAACUCGCCUGCAUGAACGAGGAAUUGGUAGUAAUCGUCGAAUCAGCAGGUCGCGGUGAAUACGUUCUCGCCUCUUGCACACACUGCCCGUCAAAU
This 1524-nucleotide ribosomal RNA is filed under the name metagenome. RNAcentral describes it as "bacterial SSU rRNA". It matches the Rfam family "Bacterial small subunit ribosomal RNA". The record is from RNAcentral.